CAGUAGCCGCGGUAACACGGAGGGUGCAAGCGUUAUCCGGAUUCACUGGGUUUAAAGGGUGCGUAGGCGGAUCUGUAAGUCAGUGGUGAAAUCUCCAGGCUUAACCUGGAAACUGCCGUUGAUACUAUAGGUCUUGAAUUUUGUGGAGGUUAGCGGAAUAUGUCAUGUAGCGGUGAAAUGCAUAGAUAUGACAUAGAACACCAAUUGCGAAGGCAGCUGGCUACACAACUAUUGACGCUGAGGCACGAAAGCGUGGGGAACAAACAGGAUUAGAUACCCCAGUAGUCCCUGUCUCUUAUAC
This 301-nucleotide ribosomal RNA is filed under the name uncultured bacterium. RNAcentral describes it as "partial 16S ribosomal RNA". It matches the Rfam family "Bacterial small subunit ribosomal RNA", at positions 509 to 807 of the family's 1533-position model. The record is from RNAcentral.